ACUGCUCAGUAACACGUGGAUAACCUGCCCUAAGGAAGGGGAUAACCUCGGGAAACUGAGGAUAAUACCCUAUAGGUUACAGACGCUGGAAUGCCCUGUAACCGAAAGUUCCGGUGCCUUAGGAUGGAUCUGCGGCCGAUUAGGUUGUUGUUGGGGUAACGGCCCAACAAGCCGAUAAUCGGUACGGGUUGUGGGAGCAAGAGCCCGGAGUUGGAUUCUGAGACAUGAAUCCAGGCCCUACGGGGCGCAGCAGGCGCGAAAACUUUACAAUGCGGGAAACCGUGAUAAGGGAACCCCGAGUGCCUGUAUAUGCAGGCUGUCCAGGUGUCUAAAAAACACCUGAAGAAAGGGCCGGGCAAGACCGGUGCCAGCCGCCGCGGUAAUACCGGCGGCUCGAGUGGUGGCCACUUUUAUUGGGCUUAAAGCGUUCGUAGCUGGGUUGUUAAGUCUCUUGGGAAAUCUGACGGCUCAACCGUCAGGCGUCCAAGGGAUACUGGCAAUCUUGGAACCGGGAGAGGUGAGGGGUACUUCGGGGGUAGGAGUGAAAUCCUGUAAUCCUCGAGGGACCACCUGUGGCGAAGGCGCCUCACCAGAACGGCUUCGACAGUGAGGGACGAAAGCUGGGGGAGCAAACCGGAUUAGAUACCCGGGUAGUCCCAGCCGUAAACGAUGCGCGUUAGGUGUAUCGGUGACCACGAGUCACCGAGGUGCCGAAGGGAAACCGUGAAACGUGCCGCCUGGGAAGUACGGUCGCAAGGCUGAAACUUAAAGGAAUUGGCGGGGGAGCAC
Molecule: ribosomal RNA, 789 nt
Filed under: Methanoculleus sp. enrichment culture clone A5_3
Lineage: Archaea; Methanobacteriati; Methanobacteriota; Methanomicrobia; Methanomicrobiales; Methanomicrobiaceae
Description: bacterial SSU rRNA
Rfam family: Archaeal small subunit ribosomal RNA
Source: RNAcentral